This 295-nucleotide long non-coding RNA is filed under the name Diabrotica virgifera virgifera (western corn rootworm). Its description in RNAcentral is "uncharacterized LOC114328188". Lineage: Eukaryota; Metazoa; Arthropoda; Insecta; Coleoptera; Chrysomelidae. The record is from RNAcentral.
GUCAUGUUAUAAUAAUCCAAGUUUUAUUUUUCAAAAUAAAGAUAGAACUGUCAGAUAGUUUCAUUUCUUGUCAAAUAUAAAAUUUUUUGUACCCCUUUUGUUUGAAAAUUCGUAAACAAAAUACAGAUAUUUCAAAAUGCUUUUAGCCAUUGUGAAGUUGGCAGCAUGCGUUGUAUUGGUCGUAGCAGGAAUUAAAUAUAUAAAACGAAUAUAAUUCAGUUAUACAUGCAGCGAUAGAAAAAUCAUCGUGCAAUCGUGCUUGUAGAGAAACAAAUAAAGUUUGUUAAGAAAAUAA